UACGUAGGUGGCGUACGUUAUCCGGAAUUACUGGGCGUAAAGGGUCCGCAGGCGGGUCACCAAGUCCGGCGUGAAAGCUCCCGGCUCAACUGGGAGAGGGCGUUGGAAACUGGUGGUCUUGAAUCUCAGAGAGGUCGGUGGAAUUCCCGGUGUAGUGGUGGAAUGCGUAGAGAUCGGGAGGAACCUCGAAAGCGAAGGCAACCGGCUGGCUGAAGAUUGACGCUGAGGGACGAAAGCGUGGGGAGCGAACAGG
Molecule: ribosomal RNA, 253 nt
Filed under: uncultured bacterium
Lineage: Bacteria
Description: partial 16S ribosomal RNA
Rfam family: Bacterial small subunit ribosomal RNA
Source: RNAcentral